UGAGUAUAGUUGAGGUAGCUGGAAUGAGUAGUGUAGCGGUGAAAUGCAUAGAUAUUACUCAGAACACCGAUUGCGAAGGCAGGUUACCAAGUUAUAACUGACGCUGAGGGACGAAAGCGUGGGGAGCGAACAGGAUUAGAUACCCUGGUAGUCCACGCCGUAAACGAUGCUAACUCGUUUUUGGGCUUUAGGGUUCAGAGACUAAGCGAAAGUGAUAAGUUAGCCACCUGGGGAGUACGACCGCAAGGUUGAAACUCAAAGGAAUUGACGGGGGCCCGCACAAGCGGUGGAUCAUGUGGUUUAAUUCGAUGAUACGCGAGGAACCUUACCAAGGCUUAAAUGGGAAUUGACAGCUGUAGAAAUACGGUUUUCUUCGGACAAUUUUCAAGGUGCUGCAUGGUUGUCGUCAGCUCGUGCCGUGAGGUGUUAGGUUAAGUCCUGCAACGAGCGCAACCCCUGUCACUAGUUGCCAUCAUUAAGUUGGGGACUCUAGUGAGACUGCCUACGCAAGUAGCGAGGAAGGUGGGGAUGACGUCAAAUCAUCACGGCCCUUACGCCUUGGGCCACACACGUGAUACAAUGGCCGGUACAGAGGGCAGCUACACUGCGAAGUGAUGCAAAUCUCGAA
RNAcentral lists this ribosomal RNA (628 nucleotides) under Riemerella anatipestifer. RNAcentral's name for it is "bacterial SSU rRNA". It matches the Rfam family "Bacterial small subunit ribosomal RNA", at positions 642 to 1278 of the family's 1533-position model. The record is from RNAcentral. Lineage: Bacteria; Pseudomonadati; Bacteroidota; Flavobacteriia; Flavobacteriales; Weeksellaceae.